RNAcentral lists this ribosomal RNA (1256 nucleotides) under uncultured Acinetobacter sp. Its description in RNAcentral is "bacterial SSU rRNA". It matches the Rfam family "Bacterial small subunit ribosomal RNA", at positions 77 to 1328 of the family's 1533-position model. The record is from RNAcentral. Lineage: Bacteria; Pseudomonadati; Pseudomonadota; Gammaproteobacteria; Moraxellales; Moraxellaceae.
AGCUUGCUACCUGACCUAGCGGCGGACGGGUGAGUAAUGCUUAGGAAUUUGCCUAUUAGUGGGGGACAACAUUCCGAAAGGAAUGCUAAUACCGCAUACGCCCUACGGGGGAAAGCAGGGGAUCUUCGGACCUUGCGCUAAUAGAUGAGCCUAAGUCAGAUUAGCUAGUUGGUGGGGUAAAGGCCUACCAAGGCGACGAUCUGUAGCGGGUCUGAGAGGAUGAUCCGCCACACUGGGACUGAGACACGGCCCAGACUCCUACGGGAGGCAGCAGUGGGGAAUAUUGGACAAUGGGCGAAAGCCUGAUCCAGCCAUGCCGCGUGUGUGAAGAAGGCCUUUUGGUUGUAAAGCACUUUAAGCGAGGAGGAGGCUACUGAGAUUAAUACUCUUGGAUAGUGGACGUUACUCGCAGAAUAAGCACCGGCUAACUCUGUGCCAGCAGCCGCGGUAAUACAGAGGGUGCGAGCGUUAAUCGGAUUUACUGGGCGUAAAGCGUGCGUAGGCGGCUUUUUAAGUCGGAUGUGAAAUCCCUGAGCUUAACUUAGGAAUUGCAUUCGAUACUGGGAAGCUAGAGUAUGGGAGAGGAUGGUAGAAUUCCAGGUGUAGCGGUGAAAUGCGUAGAGAUCUGGAGGAAUACCGAUGGCGAAGGCAGCCAUCUGGCCUAAUACUGACGCUGAGGUACGAAAGCAUGGGGAGCAAACAGGAUUAGAUACCCUGGUAGUCCAUGCCGUAAACGAUGUCUACUAGCCGUUGGGGCCUUUGAGGCUUUAGUGGCGCAGCUAACGCGAUAAGUAGACCGCCUGGGGAGUACGGUCGCAAGACUAAAACUCAAAUGAAUUGACGGGGGCCCGCACAAGCGGUGGAGCAUGUGGUUUAAUUCGAUGCAACGCGAAGAACCUUACCUGGUCUUGACAUAGUAAGAACUUUCCAGAGAUGGAUUGGUGCCUUCGGGAACUUACAUACAGGUGCUGCAUGGCUGUCGUCAGCUCGUGUCGUGAGAUGUUGGGUUAAGUCCCGCAACGAGCGCAACCCUUUUCCUUAUUUGCCAGCGGGUUAAGCCGGGAACUUUAAGGAUACUGCCAGUGACAAACUGGAGGAAGGCGGGGACGACGUCAAGUCAUCAUGGCCCUUACGACCAGGGCUACACACGUGCUACAAUGGUCGGUACAAAGGGUUGCUACCUAGCGAUAGGAUGCUAAUCUCAAAAAGCCGAUCGUAGUCCGGAUUGGAGUCUGCAACUCGACUCCAUGAAGUCG